Long non-coding RNA from Archocentrus centrarchus (flier cichlid), 793 nucleotides. RefSeq lists it as uncharacterized. The record is from RefSeq and is a predicted model, not a curated record. Lineage: Eukaryota; Metazoa; Chordata; Actinopteri; Cichliformes; Cichlidae. The transcript is spliced from 6 exons.
AGCGGGAGCGAAGAUGAUACAGUGUGUGCUGAGCUAAAUUGAGCAAACUUCGAAAUAAGCUUAAGAAAGUGAACGAGACAAUAACCUGGUUCACCCUUAAGCGAGCGGGAGAAACGGAACCGACCUCUUGGUGGUUUCGGGCAGUGCGAGCGUCUUGGCUAGGUUUUUUAGAUACACUUGCAACUUGAAUUGGAUCUGUUGGAUUUCCCCCUGACGAGGAGGAUGGCAAGCCACCCAUUGAGGUUCUGGAACUGAGCAGGACCAAUCCUUUUGGCCUACAAGGAACAGGUUCUUUCACAACAUCAGCUCUCAACUGGCGGAGUCGUCGUCUGAGACGUGCUACCGCACUAACAGCUUGAGACCAGGAUGAAAACCUUACCAGGUUACUCACUGUGACUGAGACAGCUGCUGCUGUCAAUUCUAACCUUGGGAUGAUGGUGAUCUUUGAAGGAGACAGAUGAGAUUUUCCCAUGAUGAAGGCACAAUGAGCAUCUCCCUUCUCAUUCAAAAACCUCAGAUCAUGAAGUUGACCUUGAAGACCUCGGUGGACGUCAGGCAAAUAUUAAUGGAUUGCUUAGCAAUCCAUGGACGUACCGCACAAGGACUGCUGCCACCAGCUGCAGUCUGGAACAGAGGAGUUGGAGUCUGUUGAACGACGGGAUGAGAGGCUCUGGGGAUCACCACAAGUCCAACUUGGCACCGCUACUGGUGCAGCAUUUAUAAACCAGGGCUGAGCUGUGUCAUGUUCUGCUGGCGCAUGCAAAGCAGAGGACCCCAAAGCAGGACUCAGAGG